GCGGGAGACGAAAGCGGAAGCCUGGAGUCCGAGGACAAGGAGGAUCCUCCAGGUCGGAGGAGCGGAAAGUCCUAGCACAGGAGGACUGUGGCGAGCCCUGCAUCCGAGGGACCUUGGUGGCAGUGAUCCUCCAGUGAUCUGUCAAUCCAGGUUUUACAUCGCUAAACGCAGAGCUUGGGCUUUGUUGCCAAGUGGUGUUUUGAUUCUUGCCCACUCCUCAC
Molecule: long non-coding RNA, 221 nt
Filed under: Homo sapiens (human)
Lineage: Eukaryota; Metazoa; Chordata; Mammalia; Primates; Hominidae
Description: long non-coding RNA NONHSAT151848
Source: RNAcentral